AUUGAACGCUGGCGGAAUGCUUUACACAUGCAAGCCGAGCGGCAGCGCGGCCUUCGGGCUGGCGGCGAGCGGCGAACGGGUGAGUAAUGCAUCGGAACAUGCCCAGUCGUGGGGAAUAACACUUCGAAAGAAGUGCUAAUACCGCAUACGUCCUGAGGGGGAAAGCGGGGGAUCGCAAGACCUCGCGCGAUUGGAGUGGCCGAUGUCAGAUUAGCUAGUUGGUGGGGUAAAGGCCUACCAAGGCGACGAUCUGUAGCUGGUCUGAGAGGAUGAUCAGCCACACUGGGACUGAGACACGGCCCAGACUCCUACGGGAGGCAGCAGUGGGGAAUUUUGGACAAUGGGGGCAACCCUGAUCCAGCCAUUCCGCGUGAGUGAAGAAGGCCUUCGGGUUGUAAAGCUCUUUCGGCAGGAACGAAACGGUGGGCUCUAACAUAGUCCGCUAAUGACGGUACCUGAAGAAGAAGCACCGGCUAACUACGUG
This 484-nucleotide ribosomal RNA is filed under the name uncultured bacterium. RNAcentral describes it as "partial 16S ribosomal RNA". It matches the Rfam family "Bacterial small subunit ribosomal RNA", at positions 29 to 507 of the family's 1533-position model. The record is from RNAcentral.